This 253-nucleotide ribosomal RNA is filed under the name uncultured bacterium. Its description in RNAcentral is "partial 16S ribosomal RNA". It matches the Rfam family "Bacterial small subunit ribosomal RNA", at positions 524 to 776 of the family's 1533-position model. The record is from RNAcentral.
UACGUAGGGUGCAAGCGUUAAUCGGAAUCACUGGGCGUAAAGCGUGCGCAGGCGGUUUUGUAAGUCUGACGUGAAAGCCCCGGGCUCAACCUGGGAAUUGCGUUGGAGACUGCAAGGCUUGAAUCUGGCAGAGGGGGGUAGAAUUCCACGUGUAGCAGUGAAAUGCGUAGAGAUGUGGAGGAACACCGAUGGCGAAGGCAGCCCCCUGGGUCAAGAUUGACGCUCAUGCACGAAAGCGUGGGGAGCAAACAGG